CGCGUAGGCGGCAUGACAAGUCACUUGUGAAAUCUCCGGGCUUAACUCGGAACGGCCAAGUGAUACUGUCGCGCUAGAGUGCGGAAGGGGCAAUCAGAAUUCUUGGUGUAGCGGUGAAAUGCGUAGAUAUCGGGAGGAACACCUGUGGCGAAGGCGGCCCCCUGGUUGGAUACUGACGCUGAUACGCGAAAGCGUGGGGAGCAAAACA
RNAcentral lists this ribosomal RNA (208 nucleotides) under uncultured bacterium. Its description in RNAcentral is "partial 16S ribosomal RNA". It matches the Rfam family "Bacterial small subunit ribosomal RNA", at positions 568 to 775 of the family's 1533-position model. The record is from RNAcentral.